GACGAACGCUGGCGGCGUGCUUAACACAUGCAAGUCGAACGGAAAGGCCCUGCUUUUGUGGUGUGCUCGAGUGGCGAACGGGUGAGUAACACGUGAGUAACCUGCCCUUGACUUUGGGAUAACUUCAGGAAACUGGGGCUAAUACCGGAUAGGAGCUCCUGCUGCAUGGUGGGGGUUGGAAAGUUUCGGCGGUUGGGGAUGGACUCGCGGCUUAUCAGCUUGUUGGUGGGGUAGUGGCUUACCAAGGCUUUGACGGGUAGCCGGCCUGAGAGGGUGACCGGCCACAUUGGGACUGAGAUACGGCCCAGACUCCUACGGGAGGCAGCAGUGGGGAAUCUUGCACAAUGGGCGGAAGCCUGAGGCAGCAACGCCGCGUGCGGGAUGACGGCCUUCGGGUUGUAAACCGCUUUCGCCUGUGACGAAGCGUGAGUGACGGUAAUGGGUAAAGAAGCACCGGCUAACUACGUG
RNAcentral lists this ribosomal RNA (468 nucleotides) under uncultured bacterium. RNAcentral describes it as "partial 16S ribosomal RNA". It matches the Rfam family "Bacterial small subunit ribosomal RNA", at positions 28 to 507 of the family's 1533-position model. The record is from RNAcentral.